GAAACACAUUAAUUCAUUUUAUUUAUAAUGAGGCCGUGAGUGAAAUAUUCAGAAUGCUAAGAGAGAAGCACCUCAUCAGAAGGGUUUUUGUAAAGAGAAGUGUCACUCUCAUCUUUGCAUCCAGGGAGCAUCGCGCAGGAGUCAGCCCUGACCCACGCCGGUCUCGGCCCUCUGCUGGUCGCCGGACCACAUCUGCUCUCCACCCCAUUCCUCCUUGUUGACAGGAUUCCGGUUUUAUUUGGCUUGGCAAUGAACCCGACUGAAAAUAUGCAGUUUCCCAGACUCCUUUGCGGUGGAGAGUGGUCAGGUGACAUGGCCCCAGCCAACGCGGUGGAGGUGAGCUGCCGAAAGACAGUCCUUGCAGAACAAGACAGCACAGAGCUCAAAAGAUGGAUGAAGCCGGGGUCCCUGCCCGACAACCUGCCUCCAGCCUCCCCUGCCUGAGACGACCAGCCCCGCUGUCGUUUUCGGUUGAACAAGUUCCCAACUGAUCUACCCACGUGCAUCUGAACCUAAGGAGCUGCCACCACCCCCGCAUCUUUGAGGAGCAAACACAAGGGGUUAGAGCCAGUCUCAAUGGAAACAACUCCCACCCAGGCCAGGGCCCCGCCUCCCCUUUGCCUAUCUGAGGUGAUUGACAGCAAUGCCAUCCAAUCACAAUGUUCUCUGUCUUCUUGGCGACGCCAGAAAGUGAGCUGCCUCUACUCACUAUUUAUUUAUUUGUUUAUUUUAUUUUAGUUAUUUGGUUAUCUCCUUGGUGAAACCAGCCUCCAGGUUUCCCAAAAUGUGACACCCAGUGCAGCACCCCUGGACCUGUCCUUUCCUCCCCACGUGGUGGCUAAUGGAGAUGCCUCUCAGGACAGGAGAGGCUCUGGGUGUCUCCGUCUGCAGAAUGGGGGCGACCAGACCUCACCUGCUUGCUCCUGCACAGUCACCCGCCCUGGCCUCUGUGCUCUGGCCUCACCAGGCCCUCCGAGCACGGCCCCUCACAGUCCACUCUCCCGUUUGGCCCACUGGGAGGUCCCAG
This 1027-nucleotide long non-coding RNA is filed under the name Equus caballus (horse). RNAcentral describes it as "lncRNA (ENSECAG00000055433.1)". The record is from RNAcentral. Lineage: Eukaryota; Metazoa; Chordata; Mammalia; Perissodactyla; Equidae.